Molecule: ribosomal RNA, 500 nt
Filed under: uncultured bacterium
Lineage: Bacteria
Description: partial 16S ribosomal RNA
Rfam family: Bacterial small subunit ribosomal RNA
Source: RNAcentral
AUUGAACGCUGGCGGCAUGCCUUACACAUGCAAGUCGAACGGCAGCACGGGAGCAAUCCUGGUGGCGAGUGGCGAACGGGUGAGUAAUAUAUCGGAACGUGCCCAGUCGUGGGGGAUAACGCAGCGAAAGCUGUGCUAAUACCGCAUACGAUCUACGGAUGAAAGCGGGGGAUCGCAAGACCUCGCGCGAUUGGAGCGGCCGAUAUCAGAUUAGCUAGUUGGUGGGGUAAAGGCCCACCAAGGCGACGAUCUGUAGCUGGUCUGAGAGGACGACCAGCCACACUGGAACUGAGACACGGUCCAGACUCCUACGGGAGGCAGCAGUGGGGAAUUUUGGACAAUGGGCGCAAGCCUGAUCCAGCAAUGCCGCGUGCAGGAUGAAGGCCUUCGGGUUGUAAACUGCUUUUGUACGGAACGAAACGGCCCUUUCUAAUACAGGGGGCUAAUGACGGUACCGUAGGAAUAAGCACCGGCUAACUACGAGCCAGCCGCCGCGGUAA